This 1054-nucleotide long non-coding RNA is filed under the name Lytechinus variegatus (green sea urchin). Its description in RNAcentral is "uncharacterized LOC121414994". The record is from RNAcentral. Lineage: Eukaryota; Metazoa; Echinodermata; Echinoidea; Temnopleuroida; Toxopneustidae.
UUAAAAAUGCAUUUAUUUUAUUUUAUUUAUUUUCCUCAGCAAAGCUUGCUUAUUUAUCUAAGUUUCACUCCACAGCCAGGUUGCUAAGAGACAAGGAGUAGAUAUUAUGCAAGAGUGAGUAGGAGAUGAGAGAAGUGUGUGUGAGAUUCCUUUUGCUAGAAUUGAAUUGCAUUUCUAUUGUGUGUUGUGUCUAGGGUGGUAGACUUGUAUAGGUCCCUUUUAGUGAGCUCAGUGAGCCUUUCUCUUUAAACAGCUGCUUAAAAUACUUUUGGGGAAAUUGCAAGAUUGGGAGGAGACCCCAGUAGCUUUCCACUAGUUUUCUAGCAUUGCAUCUUGGAGACUUUGUGUAACACACACCUAUGCAAUUUUGGGGCAGUCGCCAUUUUAUCUGCCAUCUUGAUAAUUUUUGAAUUUCAACUUUAAGCAGAAAAGCAGCCUUACUUGUUUGAUAUUGGCUGGAACUUAUAAAUACCUGUAUGAGGUCAGAUUUAGCAGAAUAUAUGCUGUUAUUUUAUGCCUGAAUAGAAGAAGCCAUCGAUGGUUCCAAGAUCGGGAUAUUUUCCAACACCGGAUAAUUUCCAGGAUCAAGACAUUUCCCAAGGUCGGGUCGUUUAGGAGACUGGUGAAUUAUUAGUAAGCUGAGAAUAUAAAGCGCCGUCUUUGAUGGAGGUUUUCGGCCAACAGAUAAGUUAUUAUAAAGAACAGUGAGAGAGAAAGCAGGAGGACUUUUCUUUAAAUGUGAACUCGAUUUCUGAAUAUCAGAAAGUCUAACGAUUGGAGAUUUGAGAUUGAAGAUACAGACAUUAAUAAUGACUGAACAGUUGAUUGAUAGAAGUAUUGAUUUGAAUUUGGAUCCUUGUAAGAUAUGUCGGAUGAUAGUCUUGGGCUAGAGUUUGGAGAACAGCUCAAGUUUCAGGUGUUAGAAGAUAAAAUGUUAUCAGAAAAAUAUAUUAGGUCAGAGAUACAAAAUGGUGAAAGUAGAAUUAUAUAUGAAGGUGGAUUAAUGCAGGAUCCUUUCAUAAUUAUGAAUGUUUGGUAGUUAUGAUUGUGAAAA